Cordylochernes scorpioides is the source of this 118-nucleotide non-coding RNA. NCBI's taxonomy places the organism in Eukaryota, Metazoa, Arthropoda, Arachnida, Pseudoscorpiones, Chernetidae. The record is from the annotation of a GenBank genome assembly.
UCAUUCAUUUCAUUUUCUCGUUUUCACUGGUUCUCGUCCGAUCACCGAAGUUAAGCAAUGUCAGGCCCGGUCAGUACUUGGGAGGGUGAAUACCUGGGAACACCGGGUGCUGUAGGCU